GACGGCGUAGCGCAGUUGGCAGAGCAUUGGGCUAGUAUUCCAAAGGUCGUAGGUUCGAUUCCCACCGUGGCCA
Molecule: non-coding RNA, 73 nt
Organism: Paramuricea clavata
Lineage: Eukaryota; Metazoa; Cnidaria; Anthozoa; Malacalcyonacea; Plexauridae
Source: the annotation of a GenBank genome assembly